UAGCUUAGUUGGUAGUGCGUCUGCCUUGUAAGCACUAGGCUGUGGGUUCGAUUCCUGC
Molecule: transfer RNA, 58 nt
Filed under: Diaphorina citri (Asian citrus psyllid)
Lineage: Eukaryota; Metazoa; Arthropoda; Insecta; Hemiptera; Psyllidae
Rfam family: tRNA
About the family: Transfer RNA (tRNA) molecules are approximately 80 nucleotides in length. Their secondary structure includes four short double-helical elements and three loops (D, anti-codon, and T loops).
Source: Rfam by way of RNAcentral